RNAcentral lists this ribosomal RNA (678 nucleotides) under uncultured bacterium. RNAcentral's name for it is "bacterial SSU rRNA". It matches the Rfam family "Bacterial small subunit ribosomal RNA", at positions 44 to 715 of the family's 1533-position model. The record is from RNAcentral.
AUGCUUAACACAUGCAAGUCGAACGGUAACAUUGGAGCUUGCUCCAGAUGACGAGUGGCGGACGGGUGAGUAACGCGUAGGAAUCUGCCUAGUAGUGGGGGACAACAUGUGGAAACGCAUGCUAAUACCGCAUACGCCCUACGGGGGAAAGCGGGGGAUCUUCGGACCUCGCGCUAUUAGAUGAGCCUGCGUUAGAUUAGCUUGUUGGUGGGGUAAUGGCCUACCAAGGCGACGAUCUAUAGCUGGUCUGAGAGGACGAUCAGCCACACUGGGACUGAGACACGGCCCAGACUCCUACGGGAGGCAGCAGUGGGGAAUAUUGGACAAUGGGCGAAAGCCUGAUCCAGCAAUGCCGCGUGUGUGAAGAAGGCCUGCGGGUUGUAAAGCACUUUCAGUCGGGAGGAAGAGAGGGUCGUUAAUAGCGACCCAGGAUGACGUUACCGACAGAAGAAGCACCGGCUAACUCCGUGCCAGCAGCCGCGGUAAUACGGAGGGUGCGAGCGUUAAUCGGAAUUACUGGGCGUAAAGGGCGCGUAGGCGGCGUGAUCAGUCAGAUGUGAAAGCCCCGGGCUUAACCUGGGAAUUGCAUUUGAUACUGUCAUGCUCGAGUUUGGUAGAGGGGAGUGGAAUUUCCGGUGUAGCGGUGAAAUGCGUAGAGAUCGGAAGGAACACCAGUGG